This is a non-coding RNA of Schistocerca cancellata (South American locust), 72 nucleotides long. The record is from the annotation of a RefSeq genome assembly. NCBI's taxonomy places the organism in Eukaryota, Metazoa, Arthropoda, Insecta, Orthoptera, Acrididae.
GCCAGGGUCGUGUAGUGAUUAUCGCAUUUGCCUAGUGAGCAAGAGACCCGGGUUCGAACCCCGGCCUUGGCA